CUACGGGCGGCUCCAGUGGGGAAUAUUGCACAAUGGAGGAAACUCUGAUGCAGCAACGCCGCGUGGAGGAUGACACUUUUCGGAGCGUAAACUCCUUUUAUAUAGGAAGAAGAUGACGGUACUAUAUGAAUAAGCGCCGGCUAACUCCGUGCCAGCAGCCGCGGGUAAUACGGAGGGCGCAAGCGUUACUCGGAAUCACUGGGCGUAAAGAGCGUGUAGGCGGAUUAAAAAGUCAGAAGUGAAAUCCUAUAGCUUAACUAUAGAACUGCUUCUGAAACUCUUAAUCUAGAAUAUGGGAGAGGUAGAUGGAAUUUCUGGUGUAGGGGUAAAAUCCAUAGAGAUCAGAAGGAAUACCGAUUGCGAAGGCGAUCUACUAGAACAUUAUUGACGCUGAGACGCGAAAGCGUGGGGAGCAAACAGGAUUAGAUACCCGUGUAGUC
RNAcentral lists this ribosomal RNA (440 nucleotides) under uncultured bacterium. RNAcentral's name for it is "partial 16S ribosomal RNA". It matches the Rfam family "Bacterial small subunit ribosomal RNA", at positions 339 to 795 of the family's 1533-position model. The record is from RNAcentral.